GUGGAUUCGGAUCGUUGGCUCGUGGAUUCGAGUGGCGUCGUGGAUUCAGCGUGAUUGAAGCUUCGUGGAUUCGAAGUGGAGGCGUUCGUGGACUCGAACGUGAGGGCGUGGACAAUCCGGAGGGUAGCGCGAAGAUUCAUAGGAGGUUAAGAGAGGUUGAGUCCGUGGAGUCAGUAAUCACCUUGUAAUAUUUUCUCUUAGUGAAUUAUUUUUUUCGCGUGUUGAUCCCGUGGGUUUUUCUCCAAGUUGGAGUUUUCCUACGUAAAUCUCGGUGUGCUUUUUAUUUUCCGCAUUUAUUUUUAUUGCAUCGAGAUUUGUGGUUUUUAGCCGGUACACCUAUUCACCCCCCUCUAGGUGAUAGAUACAAUCUAGAUAGAUCCUUGGGCUCCUCAAAACUUUCAGGCGAACCCUCGGGUGCGCCACGAGAUUAAUGGACAGGUAGAUAGCUUUACUUCUUGGACAUGUGACGAGCUAGUUGAUUAACUAUUUCAUUAUACAUGCAUUCAUAUACAUAAUUCGGGCAUAGUAGUGUAGUUAUACUAUUCUGUCUUCACAGCUUUCCAUAUCUAUCUAUCUGUUUAUCUACUUGUGCCCACUUGGACCUAGUGGGGAGACCAGCGGAGUCGGCGGCCGAACCCACUGGGAACUAUAGAAGAUAGUUCUCACCUCACUCUCUACAGGUCCGAGUUCGAGUGCCCCCGGCAAGUGCGAGGAUCGUGGCAAGGGCAUAGCGCCCUAGUGGUGUAUGUACAUAGCUAGCUUUACUUCCUUUUGUAUUAGCCGUCACCCUUUGUAUUUGAGAGUAGAUGAUGUAUAGGUGUGAGGUUAUUUUGGAAGAUGUAAAAGCAUGUUAUAUUUAUGUUCAUAUUUUGAAAGUAAAUCGAUGUAUUAAAGAGAUUGAAUGAAUGUAAUAGAUAGAACCUUCUCUCUUUAUUUACUUGUAUGUCUCAUACUUGUAUCUUGCUCUUAUUUGUUAGCACUAGUGGUGCUCCUUGUGAUCGUGUAUGUAUGAAUUGAUUCCUGGGUAAAUUCUUAUACAUGAUCAGUUUGCUUAGCCUUGGACGGACAGAGGAGGUGCUGUCCAUUCGGCGUCUGUUUGACGCGCUCGAACCGAAUCGAAUUGGUAGCGGUCUCGGGGCGUGACAGCGUCGAAGAACGAAGAAUCCAACACUUCGGAGAAGGCGGAGAUAACUCACGACAUGAAUCACGAUGCUAUGGUAAAGUCUUUACUUCAUGUUAUGGUGAUUCAUACUUAGUUAUAGGCAUUAGAAUCAUUAUUAUCCAUGUUUAGUUGAUUAGAAAGUGCUUCGGAACUCUGCGGAACCCGAAACAGUGCUAAGUCUGAAAAAUGCACUGCGUACCGGUACAGCAAUUGACCCGUACCGGUACAGCCAUCGACUUUGGCUUCGCAAAUUUUUGUUCCGUCAUCGUGUAACCGGUGACAGCCUCACGUGUGCCAGUACACUGUGUAAAAUUGUGAAAACUUUCUAAUCCGACUCCGAUUGAUUCUAAAGUCUAUAAAUAAGUUAUAGGGGUUCUCUAACAGAUCAAGCAUCACGAAAAUACAUGUUUGAGAAACCCUAGAGGCUCGGAUUUCAUCUAAAAUCUAUUUUCUUCAUAAAGCCUCUUUUAGGUCAAAUCGAGAGAUUGUAAUUUGAUAUCAAUAUGUCGAUUUGAUCUUCGCUUCGCUUGGAGAUCUAUUUCCUGAUUUUCAUCGAUACUCUAAGCGAAGGAUCACCAUAAUCAUGAUGCUCUUCAUGACGGCGUCGUGGAUUCUGCGUGAUUGACGGCGGUUCGUGGAUUCGGAUCGUGAGCUUCGUGGAUUCGGAGUGGAGGCGUUUCGUGGAUUCGGAACGUGGCGUUCGUGGAUUCGAACGUGAGGGCGUGGACAACCCGGAGGAUUGCGCGAGAUUCAUAGGAGGUUAAGAGAGGUCGAGUCCGUGGAGUCGGUAAUCACCUUGUAAUCUUUUCUCUUAGUGAAUUAUUUUU
Molecule: long non-coding RNA, 1989 nt
Filed under: Ananas comosus (pineapple)
Lineage: Eukaryota; Viridiplantae; Streptophyta; Magnoliopsida; Poales; Bromeliaceae
Description: long non-coding RNA (ACOM_LNC013452)
Source: RNAcentral